Molecule: ribosomal RNA, 372 nt
Filed under: uncultured organism
Description: bacterial SSU rRNA
Rfam family: Bacterial small subunit ribosomal RNA
Source: RNAcentral
CAGAGGGUGCAAGCGUUGCUCGGAAUCAUUGGGCGUAAAGGGUAGGUAGGUGGUCUCGUUUGUCUGGGGUGGAAGCCCAGGGCUUAACCCUGGAAGUGCCCCAGAAACGGCGAGACUAGAGUCUUGGAGAGGGUCGUGGAAUUCCCGGUGUAGCGGUGAAAUGCGUAGAGAUCGGGAGGAACACCAGAGGCGAAGGCGGCGACCUGGACAAGUACUGACACUCAACUACGAAAGCGUGGGGAGCAAACAGGAUUAGAUACCCUGGUAGUCCACGCUGUAAACGAUGGGUACUAGGUUUGAUGGGUCUUGACCCCCGUCGAACCGGCGCUAACGCAAUAAGUACCCCGCCUGGGAAGUACGGUCGCAAGACUA